UUCGGGGGUACUCGAGUGGCGAACGGGUGAGUAACACGUGGGUGAUCUGCCCUGCACUUUGGGAUAAGCCUGGGAAACUGGGUCUAAUACCGAAUAGGACCGCGCGCUUCAUGGUGUGUGGUGGAAAGCUUUUGCGGUGUGGGAUGGGCCCGCGGCCUAUCAGCUUGUUGGUGGGGUAAUGGCCUACCAAGGCGACGACGGGUAGCCGGCCUGAGAGGGUGUCCGGCCACACUGGGACUGAGAUACGGCCCAGACUCCUACGGGAGGCAGCAGUGGGGAAUAUUGCACAAUGGGCGCAAGCCUGAUGCAGCGACGCCGCGUGGGGGAUGACGGCCUUCGGGUUGUAAACCUCUUUCAGUAUCGGCGAAGCUCCAAGAUUCUUCUUGGGGUGACGGUAGGUACAGAAGAAGCACCGGCCAACUACGUGCCAGCAGCCGCGGUAAUACGUAGGGUGCGAGCGUUGUCCGGAAUUACUGGGCGUAAAGAGCUCGUAGGUGGUUUGUCACGUUGUCCGUGAAAACUCACAGCUUAACUGUGGGCGUGCGGGCGAUACGGGCAGACUAGAGUACUGUAGGGGAGACUGGAAUUCCUGGUGUAGCGGUGGAAUGCGCAGAUAUCAGGAGGAACACCGGUGGCGAAGGCGGGUCUCUGGGCAGUAACUGACGCUGAGGAGCGAAAGCGUGGGGAGCGAACAGGAUUAGAUACCCUGGUAGUCCACGCCGUAAACGGUGGGUACUAGGUGUGGGUUUCCUUCCUUUAGGGAUCCGUGCCGUAGCUAACGCAUUAAGUACCCCGCCUGGGGAGUACGGCCGCAAGGCUAAAACUCAAAGGAAUUGACGGGGGCCCGCACAAGCGGCGGAGCAUGUGGAUUAAUUCGAUGCAACGCGAAGAACCUUACCUGGGUUUGACAUGCACAGGACGCCGGUAGAGAUAUCGGUUCCCUUGUGGCCUGUGUG
This 956-nucleotide ribosomal RNA is filed under the name Mycobacterium virginiense. RNAcentral's name for it is "Mycolicibacter virginiensis bacterial SSU rRNA". It matches the Rfam family "Bacterial small subunit ribosomal RNA", at positions 80 to 1034 of the family's 1533-position model. Lineage: Bacteria; Bacillati; Actinomycetota; Actinomycetes; Mycobacteriales; Mycobacteriaceae. The record is from RNAcentral.